AUGGAGGGUCAGGGAGAGAAUGUGUGUGAUGGUUGGGGGAAGAAACCAGUGAGUGGAGAGGGUUCGAGGGGGGCAACAGAUGCUGCGGCGGGGAUGGGUUCCCCGUCGGCCAUUGCCCAAGCUGGUUCGUCUCUUCACCUGGCAAUGCAUAACCAGUUGGGGACGAAGAUGUCGGGGAGCCGUCCUCUACUCGUUGACAUGGAGGCUGCCCACAAGGCCAUCAGUGGUUUCCUCGUGGUUGGACGCCUCCUCUCCCCUUUCCAGGCCAACCCAAGGGUCAUCCUCGAUGAUCUCCGGAACUCGGUUUGGAAGAACCAAGGGGCGACCACCCUCCAUGAGGUGGACAGUGACGACGGGAGGUUCAUCCUCAACUUUGCCGCUGAGAGUGACCGUCGGUUUGUGCUUAAGGCGCAUCCAUGGCACUUCAAGCGGGAUGGGCUCAUCUUCGCCGAAUUCGACGGCAAGGGUGACCCGACAGAGGUAGAUCUUGGCGUCAUGACCAUAUGGGUCCAGGUACGAGACCUUCCGUUCGUGCUUAAGACAGAGAGUAUAGGGCGGUCUCUCGAGGAUCAAUUGGGAGAGGUGCUGGAGGUUUCGCACCAUAACCAUGUAAUUGUUGAAAAAUAUUUGCGUGUGCGCGUGAAGCUCUUAUUGCAUGAACCUCUGAAGACUUCUGUAGAGUUUACCCCUUUAGGUAGUUCAAAGAUACUUAAAUUUGAUGUAAAGUAUGAGAAGCUACCUUUGUACUGUGAGUUUUGUGGGAUUGUGGGUCAUACUUCUGAGAGGAUUUGUAAAAUCCCAAGUGAGAAGAGAGUAGCUUGCUUCCCUAGAAAUCUUAGUGUUGAGCCCUACUGGAAGAGCCAAGGUGCUAGCAGGAGGGGUCUCCUAUUCGGGAACUACUCUCGCGGCGGCAAGAAUCCGACCACAAGCAUCACCAACAACAACAAUAACGCCAAGCCCAUGGAUGUUGUCAAGGUGGCCACUGUCGUGAGUGGUCUCACGGUCUCUGAUAAGGGGGCCGCUACUUCUGCCAAGACGACCGCCGGCCAGGAGGGCCGGGUUCAGGAGGUCCUGGCGCAUGUUUCGGCUGGUGCGUCACUUGGUCAGGUGGACCAGGUGGGCGCGCUGGAUGCUCCACUCGGCCAGGAGGGCCGGGUUCCUGUGGCUCUUUCGCCGACUCCUUUUGGAGCUGCUCCCGGUCAGGUGGACCGGGAAGUGGCUCUGGCUGCCACUGCUAACCUUGGCCAGGAGGGCCAAGGGUUGGCGGUGCUGGGCUGCACCCAUCCAGGUGUUAUGCAUGGCCAGGAGGGCCAUGAGCUGCUGCAGCCGGUAGUGCCCAGCUAUGCCAAGGCACUGGUUGCUGCUGCUGGCCAUGGUGGAAAUCCUACUGGCCAGGAGGGUCAGGGGAUCCAUCCCAUGGGUGGAGGCAGCCAUUCACAGGGUGCAGCUAUAACAGCUGCUAAACAUGAUGGGCUUUUAUUCAUGCCCGGUGUGCUGGAGGCUCUUUCAGAGGCUGUUGCUGCUAGGCUGGCUGCUCAGGAAACAACAAAUGGUAAUGUGGCGUUUACUUUUAAUGCUGGGAAAAAUUCGGUGCAGGGCAAGCAAAAGAGGAAGGGGGGGAAAGGAAAAAAUGUGGGAGUGUUUGAGAGAGCAGAGAAUGCACGUAAAGUAACUAUAGGUAAAAAGAGGAGAAUCCCAUCUGAUCCUAGACCAAUAGGUAGUGAGUUAGACUUUUCUUUUGAGAAAGAGAUGGAGAGCUAUGAGCGCAUCCUGUAUGGUGAAUUGAAUGUGUCCUCCAAGCGAAUUUGUACAGGGAGAGUGGUAACUAUGAAGGAUGGGGAUGGGGUACUCACACAUGUAGCUAAGGAGACAGAGGAUGAGGAGGCGCAUAUGGAGCAGAGGAGGGAGUCAGUUGGAGAUGACGGCGCAUCGGCGGCCCCCGAGGCGGAGGUCCGCUGGGCCAAAUGA
Molecule: ribosomal RNA, 1968 nt
Filed under: Triticum aestivum (bread wheat)
Lineage: Eukaryota; Viridiplantae; Streptophyta; Magnoliopsida; Poales; Poaceae
Description: partial small subunit ribosomal RNA
Source: RNAcentral